RNAcentral lists this transfer RNA (75 nucleotides) under Nanobdellota archaeon. Its description in RNAcentral is "tRNA-Arg". It matches the Rfam family "tRNA". From Rfam's summary of the family: Transfer RNA (tRNA) molecules are approximately 80 nucleotides in length. The record is from RNAcentral. Lineage: Archaea; Nanobdellati; Nanobdellota.
GGCCUCAUGGUCUAGCCUGGAUAUGAUAACAGCCUUCUAAGCUGUGGAUCGGGGGUUCGAAUCCCCCUGGGGCCG